RNAcentral lists this ribosomal RNA (406 nucleotides) under uncultured bacterium. Its description in RNAcentral is "partial 16S ribosomal RNA". It matches the Rfam family "Bacterial small subunit ribosomal RNA", at positions 30 to 526 of the family's 1533-position model. The record is from RNAcentral.
AUUGAACGCUGGCGGCAGGCCUAACACAUGCAAGUCGAGCGAGUGGCGGACGGGUGGGUAAUGUAUCGGCAACUGCCUGAUGGAGGGCGAUAACUACUGGAAGCUGUUGCUAAUACCGCCUACCAUCGGAUGUGCCCAGAUGGGAUUAGCUAGUGGGUGGGGUAAAGGCAUACCUAGGCGACGAUCCCUAGCUGGUCUGAGAGGAUGAUCAGCCACACUGGAACUGAGACACGGUCCAGACUCCUACGGGAGGCAGCAGUGGGGAAUAUUGGACAAUGGGCGAAAGCCUGAUCCAGCCAUGCCGCGUGUGUGAAGAAGGCCUUCGGAUUGUAAAGUACUUUAAGCGGGGAGGCGUUACCAGCAGAAGAAGCACCGGCUAACUCCGUGCCAGCAGCCGCGGUAAUAC